UUCCGGUUGAUCCUGCCGGAGGCUACCGCUAUUGGAGUUCGACUAAGCCAUGCGAGUCGUGAGUCCUAGGGACUCGGCGUACCGCUCAGUAACACGUGGGUAACCUGCCCUAUGCUGGGGAAUAACCUCGGGAAACUGAGAAUAAUGCCCCAUAGUUCACCACACCUGGAACGGUGGGUGGAUGAAAGCUCCGGCGGCAUAGGAUGGGCCUGCGGCGUAUCAGGUUGUAGGGGGUGUAAUGUACCCUCUAGCCAUCUACGCGUACGGGUGUUGAGAGACAUCGCCCGGAGAUGGAUUCUGAGACACGAAUCCAGACCCUACGGGGUGCAGCAGGCGCGAAAACUUGGCAAUGCGAGCAAUCGUGACCAGGGAACUCCAAGUGUAUCGGGUAAGACCGAUGCUUUUCUUGACUCUUCAAAGGUCUUGGAAUAAGGGGUGGGUAAGGACGGUGCCAGCCGCCGCGGUAAUACCGGCGCCUCAAGUGGUAGUCGCUUUUAUUGGGCCUAAAACGUCCGUAGCCGGUUUGGUACAUUCGUGGGUAAAUCAAGACGCUCAACGUCUUGAAUUCUGCGAGCACGGCCAGACUUGGGACCGGGUGAGGUGUGGGGUACUCUCAGGGUAGGGGUAAAAUCCUGUCAUCCUGAGAGGACCACCUGUUGCGAAGGCGCCACACUAGAACGGAUCCGACGGUCAGGGACGAAGCCUAGGGGCACGAACCGGAUUAGAUACCCGGGUAGUCCUAGGUGUAAACGCUGUGGACUUGAUGUUUGGGAGUGCUCCGAGCACCCUCAGUGUCGAAGCGAAGGUGAUAAGUCCACUGCCUGGGGAGUACGGUCGCAAGGCUGAAACUUUAAAGGAAUUGGGCGGGGGGAGCACUGCAACCCUGAGGAUUGUGCGGUUUAAUUUGGAGUCAACGCCGGGA
RNAcentral lists this ribosomal RNA (922 nucleotides) under uncultured archaeon. Its description in RNAcentral is "bacterial SSU rRNA". It matches the Rfam family "Archaeal small subunit ribosomal RNA", at positions 1 to 923 of the family's 1478-position model. The record is from RNAcentral.